This 253-nucleotide ribosomal RNA is filed under the name uncultured bacterium. RNAcentral describes it as "partial 16S ribosomal RNA". It matches the Rfam family "Bacterial small subunit ribosomal RNA", at positions 524 to 776 of the family's 1533-position model. The record is from RNAcentral.
GACGUAGGGUGCGAGCGUUAAUCGGAAUUACUGGGCGUAAAGCGUGCGCAGGCGGUUUUGUAAGCCAGAUGUGAAAUCCCCGGGCUUAACCUGGGAAUGGCAUUUGGGACUGCAAGGCUGGAGUGUGGCAGAGGAGACUGGAAUUCCUGGUGUAGCAGUGAAAUGCGUAGAUAUCAGGAGGAAUACCGAUGGCGAAGGCAGGUCUCUGGGCUGACACUGACGCUCAUGCACGAAAGCGUGGGGAGCAAACAGG